AAGUAGGGAGAACACGGAUUACCGUACCGGUGUGGACGAGGUCUCCCUUGGACUUGCACCAAACGAUUAGUAAUGGCAGGGACGAGUCCAGCGCGGGUCAGGAUUUUUCCUCGCCCUCGGCUUGCACUGCCGCCCCGGAGAGUCGAUUGGCUGCGGUGGAGAGUGCAGUGAACUCCGGGGACAGGAAUCAAGAAAAUCAAUCGGAUAAUUUCAACUCAGGAAUAAGGACAGCCAGCAGAGCCGUGCCGUGCACACCACGAAAGCGGACGCCUGCUAGCGAAACAAACCGGCAAAUCACAGAGUGAGUUGUUUAUUAAAAGGAAAGCAAUCUGGUGAAGAUGUCUCUCCUUCGGCGUCCAUGAUCCCCACGGAGCAGACUCCGAGAAAAAGGUGGUGUGAAAAAGAGGCGGUCGCACUAUUAUUUUUUUGAGGUGAAGAUUCUGGUCUUUGGGGUUUCCACCAGAUUGGGAAGUAAAGACCGUCUCUUCGAAGGAGGAGGAGAAGGAGUGCCGGGAAAGCAGAAACUCUUUGGGGAUUUUCGUGAGGCAGAACCCGGGGACUGUUUAAAAGAAAUCGAUAUGUAGCAACCCAGUGGCCUUGUAUGUAGCCACAAAUACAGUGUUAAACGCGUUAACAACUGUGCAAUGUAUCUUUAAAGAGGAGACAAAAAGCCUGAUGUCUACACUGGCCAAAAGUGUAAAGCUUUAAAAGUCAUUUAUUGUUUAUUGAUGCAGCUUGAGUUGUAUAUUUG
Polypterus senegalus (gray bichir) is the source of this 751-nucleotide long non-coding RNA. RefSeq lists it as uncharacterized. Lineage: Eukaryota; Metazoa; Chordata; Cladistia; Polypteriformes; Polypteridae. The transcript is spliced from 3 exons. The record is from RefSeq and is a predicted model, not a curated record.